AAUAUGAACCACAAUUAAAGAAACGAAUAGAGAGGGGCAUGUUGGCUCUGAGUUCCAAAUGAUCUCUAUAUCUUGCACGUCACGUUCUGUCUCUACAUCUAAUUAAGCCAGACCCACCAGUUUCACGUAUACGGUCGUUCAGAAAAUGAGCAAGCAGUCUACCUCUGUAUGCGUACGGAGCGUACAGUUGGGGUGAUAGGUGACGACAACGAAGAACGAACUGCAUGUGUGACAGAGAGUUUUUGGGAGAUGGGUGCUUGACGUCUGUAUAAUAAUGUACUUAUGGAGCGUGAAAUACGUUUCCAUCUGUGCCUUGAUACAGACUUAUCAAGUGGGCCCACCUCUGCGGUAGUGGCCAAGUAAAUUCUUUCUAUCCAAUGUAUGGUUUUUUUUAACGUAGUCCAUAUGCAAGCACUUGUUUAUACGCGCAUAUACUCAUUCUUAUGAACGCACAUACAUAUAUCCUACCUCUGUGAGCAUCUCCGCGAGGUUGAGU
Molecule: long non-coding RNA, 496 nt
Filed under: Hordeum vulgare
Lineage: Eukaryota; Viridiplantae; Streptophyta; Magnoliopsida; Poales; Poaceae
Description: long non-coding RNA (HVUL_LNC017254)
Source: RNAcentral